UUUGCUGUUGGCCGUUAGCUGCAAAUCUCAUGUUUGUCUUCAGUAUAUCCUUCCUUCCUUUCUUGUAAAUUAGUUGUGGGAGAUUAACUUCGAACACUUGGGCUUCCUGGCCAUUACUAUCGUGUCCCAGUAUGCCCAGCCCUAUGAUGACCUCUGCUCAGUUCAUCUGCCAUUGAUGAUUUAAAACACUGUAUAUCUUAGCUGUGGAUUGACUUCCAUACAGGUUUACCCAUACUUGCUCCUUGAAAAAUGAUUCCCCCGUUACAUUCAGAUGUAUAACUGACAGCUUCCAUUGCAGGAUUCCAUUACACAUGACAUCGUGACAGUCUACCUCAGUUUUUCUUUUCACAGUAUUCACGGGCUUCCUCCACAGGGCCUUCUGUGGGCGGGAUUUGGCAGCAGUUUUCUGUUCCCGAGAAUGUCCAACUCUCACUCUUUUCAAUCAACUUUCUACGGAACAUAAAUGAGUACCUAGCUGUGGUGGACGCCCCUCCUGUGGAACUUCGGUUCAACCCCUCAGGCUGUCUCUUGCUAGCUUCAGAAAAGGAUGCUGCCACCUUGGAAAGCAAUGUGAGAAUGCAAAGGAAGGAGCCAAGGUCUGUCUGAUGUCUCCUGAGCAGAUGCAGAACAAGUUUCCCUGGAUGAACGCAGAGGGAGUGGCUCUGGCAUCUUAUGGGUUGGAGAAUGAAGGUUGGUUUGAUGCCUGGUCUUUGCUCCAGGGUCUUCGUCGAAAGGUCCAGUCAAUGGGAGUCUUUUUCUGUCAGGGAGAGGU
This 772-nucleotide long non-coding RNA is filed under the name Rattus norvegicus (Norway rat). RNAcentral's name for it is "long non-coding RNA NONRATT028400". Lineage: Eukaryota; Metazoa; Chordata; Mammalia; Rodentia; Muridae. The record is from RNAcentral.